Seriola aureovittata is the source of this 7144-nucleotide long non-coding RNA. RefSeq lists it as uncharacterized. The transcript has 3 exons. The record is from RefSeq and is a predicted model, not a curated record. Lineage: Eukaryota; Metazoa; Chordata; Actinopteri; Carangiformes; Carangidae.
ACAGACAGAUAGAUACUUUAUUUAUUCCCAAGGGGAAAUUCAUAUGUCCAUUAGCUCAUUGUUGAUAACAACAACUACAACAUGUAAGGUAUAAAAAGUUAUAGGACAGUAAGGUAUAAAAAACCUCAUAAAGACAUCAUAGUAUAGUAAGGUAUAAAAUGUCACGGUAUAGUAAGGCAUUAAAAAUCACAGUAUGGUAAGGCAUAAAAACAUCAAUAUGGUAAACUUCAUAGUAUUGUAAGGUAUAAAAAUGUCAUAGCAACAACAUUGUACAGUAAGUCAUGAAAACGUCAUAGUAUGAUAUGGCAUAAAAAGUCAGAAUAGUAAGGUAUAAAAUUGUCAUAGCAACGACAUAGUAUAGAAUGUCAUAAAAAUGUCAUAGUAUAGUAAGGCAUAAAGAACAUCAUAUAAUAGUAAGGCAUAAAAACGUCAUGGUAUAGUAAUGCUUAAAAAAGUGUCAUAGUAUAGUAAGGAAUAAAAAAUGACAGUAUAGUAAAGCUUAAAAAGAUGUCAUAGUAAGGCAAAAAAAAAAAAACUCGGUAAGGCAUGAAAAACGUCAUAGUAUAGUAUGGCAGAAAAAGGACAUAGUACGUUUUUACUACUAGUCAUAGUAUAUUAAGGCAUAAAAACGACAUAGUAUAGUAAGGCAUAAAAAGGACAUAAUUAGGCAUGAAAAGGACAUAGUAUAAUAAGUCAUAAAAACGACAGUAUAGUAAGGCAUAAAAAGGACAUAUUAUAGUAAGGCAUAAAAAGACAUAGUAUAGUAAGGUAUAAAAACGACAGUAUAGUAAGGCAUAAAAAGGACACUAUAGUAAGGCAUAAAAAGGACACUAUAGUAAGGCAUAAAAACGACAUAGUAUAGUAAGGCAUGAAAAACGUCAUAGUAAGGCAUGAAAAACGUCAUAGUAUAAUAAGGCAUAAAAAGGACAUAGUAUAGUUAGGCCAAAAAAGGACAUAGUAUAGUAAGGCAUGAAAAACGUCACAAUAUAGUAAGGCAUAAAAAGAACAUAGUAUAAUAAGGCAUAAAAACUACAGUAUAGUAAGGCAUGAAAAACGUCAUAGUAAGGCAUGAAAAACGUCAUAGUAUAGUAAGUCAUGAAAAGGACAUAGUAUAGUAAAGCAUAGAAACGACAGUAUAGUAAGGCAUAAAAAGGACAUAGUAUAGUAAGGCAUGAAAAACGUCAUAGUAUAGUUAGGCCAAAAAAGGACAUAGUAUAGUAAGGCAUGAAAAACGUCAUAAUAUAGUAAGGCAUAAAAAGAACAUAGUAUAAUAAGGCAUAAAAACGACAGUAUAGUAAGGCAUGAAAAGGACAUAGUAUAGUAAGGCAUGAAAAUCGUCACAGUAUAAUAAGCAUAAAAAUGUCAUACUAUAGUAAUUCUUACAAAAGAAUCACGUUAUAGUAAGGAAUAAAAACGUCAUAGUAUAGUAAGGCAUAAAAACGUCAUAGUAUAGUAAGGCAUAAAAAGGACAUAUUAUAGUAAGGCAUAAAAAGGACAUAUUAUAGUAAGGCAAAAAAAGGACAUAUUAUAGUAAGGCAUAAAGAGGACAUAUUAUAGUAAGGCAUGAAAAGGACAUAGUAUAGUAAGGCAUGAAAACGACAGUAUAGUAAGGCAAAAAAAGGACAUUAUAGUAAGGCAUAAAAAGGACAUAUUAUAGUAAGGCAUAAAAAGGACAUAUUAUAGUAAGGCAUGAAAAGGACAUAGUAUAGUAAGGCAUAAAAAGGACAUAUUAUAGUAAGGCAUAAAAAGGACAUAUUAUAGUAAGGCAUAAAAAGGACAGUAUAGUAAGGCAUAAAAACGUCAUAGUAUAGUAAGGCAUAAAAAGGACAUAGUAUAGUAAGGCAUGAAAAACGUCAUAGUAUAAUAAGCAUAAAAAUGUCAUACUAUAGUAAUUCUUACAAAAGAAUCACGUUAUAGUAAGGAAUAAAAACGUCAUAGUAUACUAAGGCAUGAAAACACCAAUGUAUAGUAAGUCAUAAAAACGACAGUAUAGUAAGGCAAAAAAAGGACAUAUUAUAGUAAGGCAUAAAAAGGACAUAUUAUAGUAAGGCAUCAAAACGACAUAGUAUUGUAAGGCAUAAAAACGUCAUAGUAUAGUAAGGCAUAAAAAGGACAUAGUAUAGUAAGGCAUAAAAAGGACAUAGUAUAGUAAGGCAAAAAAAGGACAUAUUAUAGUAAGGCAUAAAAAGGACAUAGUAUAGUAAGGCAAAAAAAGGACAUAUUAUAGUAAGGCAAAAAAAGGACAUAUUAUAGUAAGGCAUAAAAAGAACAUAUCGACACCCUCUUAAAAUAAUGGCCUAAGUCAUUUUUUCAGGUUUUUCAGGAAACACAAAAAACUCAACAAAAGAGUCACACUUUUGACAUAGGCCAUUAUACAACCGGGGGUAGAAUUGCAUGUUCCCCUCAACUGAGGAUUCAGGCGAUUUUACCAGAGGUGGCCAGCAUCAUGAGGGGGUGAUUUAGGCAAAAAAAACAUUUUUGUCAAAACAUGACUUAGGCCAUUAUUUUAGGAAGGUGACGAUAUUAUAGUAAGGCAUAAAAACGACAUAGUAUUGUAAGGCAUAAAAAGGACAUAGUAUAGUAAGGCAAAAAAAGGACAUAGUAUAAUAAGGCAUAAAAACGACAGUAUAUUAAGGUAUAAAAAGGACAGUAUAGUAAGGCAUAAAAAGGACAUACCGUAGUAUAGUAAGGCAUGAAAAACGUCAUAGUAUAGUAAGGCAUAAAGACGUCAUAGUAUAGUAAGGCAUAAAAAGGACAUAGUAUAGUAAGGCAUAAAAACGACAUAGUAUAGUAAGGCAAAAAAAGGACAUAGUAUAGUAAGGCAAAAAAAGGACAUAUUAUAGUAAGGCAUAAAAACGUCAUAGUAUAGUAAGGCAAAAAAAGGACAUUUUAUAGUAAGGCAUAAAAACGACAUAGUAUAGUAAGGCAUAAAAACGUCACAGUAUAGUUUGGCAUAAAAAGGACAUAGUAUAGUAAGGCAUGAAAAACGUCAUAGUAUAGUAAGGCAAAAAAAGGACAUAGUAUAGUAAGGCAAAAAAAGGACAUAUUAUAGUAAGGCAUAAAAACAACAUAGUAUAGUAAGGCAAAAAAAGGACAUCGUAUAGUAAGGCAUAAAAACGUCAUAGUAUAGUAAGGUAUAAAAAGGACAGUAUAGUAAGGCAAAAAAAGGACAUAGUAUAGUAAGGCAUAAAAACGUCAUAGUAUAGUAAGGUAUAAAAAGGACAGUAUAGUAAGGCAUAAAAACGUCAUAGUAUAGUAAGGCAUAAAAAGGACAUAGUAUAGUAAGGCAUAAAAACGACAUAGUAUAGUAAGGCAAAAAAAGGACAUAGUAUAGUAAGGCAUAAAAACGACAUAGUAUAGUAAGGCAAAAAAAGGACAUAGUAUAGUAAGGCAAAAAAAGGACAUAUUAUUAGUAAGGCAUAAAAACGUCAUAGUAUAGUAAGGCAUAAAAACCUCAUAGUAUAGUAAGGCAAAAAAGGACAUAUAGUAAGGCAAAAAAAGGACAUAGUAUAAUAAGGCAUAAAAACGACAGUAUAGUAAGGUAUAAAAAGGACAGUAUAGUAAGGCAAAAAAAGGACAUAUUAUAGUAAGGCAUAAAAAGGACAUAGUAUAAUAAGGCAUAAAAACGACAGUAUAGUAAGGUAUAAAAAGGACAGUAUAGUAAGGCAAAAAAAGGACAUAUUAUAGUAAGGCAUGAAAAACGUCAUAGUAUAGUAAGGCAUAAAAACGUCACAGUAUAGUAAGGCAUAAAAAGGACAUAGUAUAGUAAGGCAUAAAAACGACAUAGUAUAGUAAGGCAUGAAAAACGACACAGUAUAUUAAGGUAUAAAAAGGACAGUAUAGUAAGGCAUAAAAAGGACAUACCGUAGUAUAGUAAGGCAUGAAAAACGUCAUAGUAUAGUAAGGCAUAAAAACGUCAUAGUAUAGUAAGGCAUAAAAAGGACAUAGUAUAGUAAGGCAAAAAAAGGACAUAUUAUAGUAAGGCAUAAAAACGACAUAGUAUAGUAAGGCACAAAAAGGACAUAGUAUAGUAAGGCAUAAAAACGUCAUAGUAUAGUAAGGUAUAAAAAGGACAGUAUAGUAAGGCAUAAAAAGGACGUCAUAGUAUAGUAAGGCAUAAAAACGUCAUAUUAUUAGUAAGGCAUAAAAACGUCAUAGUAUAGUAAGGCAAAAAAAGGACAUAGUAUAGUAAGGCAUAAAAAGGACAUAGUAUAGUAAGGCAUAAAAACAACAUAGUAUAGUAAGGCAAAAAAAGGACAUAUUAUUAGUAAGGCAUAAAAACGUCAUAGUAUAGUAAGGCAUAAAAAGGACAUAGUAUAGUAAGGCAUAAAAACGACAUAGUAUAGUAAGGCAUGAAAAACGACACAGUAUAUUAAGGUAUAAAAAGGACAGUAUAGUAAGGCAUAAAAAGGACAUACCGUAGUAUAGUAAGGCAUGAAAAACGUCAUAGUAUAGUAAGGCAUAAAAACGUCAUAGUAUAGUAAGGCAUAAAAACGUCAUAGUAUAGUAAGGUAUAAAAAGGACAGUAUAGUAAGGCAUAAAAAGGACGUCAUAGUAUAGUAAGGCAUAAAAACGUCAUAGUAUAGUAAGGCAUAAAAACGUCAUAGUAUAGUAAGGCAUAAAAAGGACAUAGUAUAGUAAGGCUUAAAAACGACAUAGUAUAGUAAGGCAAAAAAAGGACAUAGUAUAGUAAGGCAUAAAAACGACAUAGUAUAGUAAGGCAAAAAAAGGACAUAUUAUUAGUAAGGCAUAAAAACGUCAUAGUAUAGUAAGGCAUAAAAACGACAUAGUAUAGUAAGGCAAAAAAAGGACAUAGUAUAGUAAGGCAAAAAAAGGACAUAUUAUUAGUAAGGCAUAAAAACGUCAUAGUAUAGUAAGGCAUAAAAAGGACAUAGUAUAGUAAGGCAUAAAAACGACACAGUAUAUUAAGGUAUAAAAAGGACAGUAUAGUAAGGCAAAAAAAGGACAUAUUAUAGUAAGGCAUAAAAAGGACAUAGUAUAGUAAGGCAUAAAAAGGACAUAGUAUAGUAAGGCAUGAAAAACGUCAUAGUAUAGUAAGGCAUAAAAACGUCACAGUAUAGUAAGGCAUAAAAAGGACAUAGUAUAGUAAGGCAUGAAAAACGUCAUAGUAUAGUAAGGCAUAAAAACGUCAUAGUAUAGUAAGGCAAAAAAAGGACAUAUUAUAGUAAGGCAUAAAAACGACAUAGUAUAGUAAGGCAAAAAAAGGACAUAGUAUAGUAAGGCAUAAAAACGUCAUAGUAUAGUAAGGUAUAAAAAGGACAGUAUAGUAAGGCAUAAAAAGGACGUCAUAGUAUAGUAAGGCAUAAAAACGACAAAGUAUAGUAAGGCAUAAAAACGACAUAGUAUAGUAAGGCAUAAAAAGGACAUAUUAUAGUAAGGCAUAAAAACGUCAUAGUAUAGUAAGGCAUAAAAAGGACAUAGUAUAGUAAGGCAUAAAAACGACAUAGUAUAGUAAGGCAAAAAAAGGACAUAGUAUAGUAAGGCAAAAAAAGGACAUAUUAUUAGUAAGGCAUAAAAACGUCAUAGUAUAGUAAGGCAUAAAAAGGACAUAGUAUAGUAAGGCAAAAAAAGGACAUAGUAUAGUAAGGCAAAAAAAGGACAUUAUUAGUAAGGCAUAAAAACGUCAUAGUAUAGUAAGGCAUAAAAACGACAUAGUAUAGUAAGGCAAAAAAAGGACAUAGUAUAGUAAGGCAAAAAAAGGACAUAUUAUUAGUAAGGCAUAAAAACGUCAUAGUAUAGUAAGGCAUAAAAAGGACAUAGUAUAGUAAGGCAUAAAAACGACAUAGUAUAGUAAGGCAAAAAAAGGACAUAGUAUAGUAAGGCAUAAAAAGGACAUAUUAUAGUAAGGCAUAAAAAGGACAUAUUAUAGUAAGGCAUAAAAAGGACAUAGUAUAGUAAGGCAUAAAAACGUCAUAGUAUAGUAAGGCAUAAAAAGGACAUAUUAUAGUAAGGCAAAAAAAGGACAUAGUAUAGUAAGGCAUGAAAAACGUCAUAGUAUAGUAAGGCAUAAAACGGACAUAGUAUAGUAAGGCAUAAAAAUGUCAUAGUAUAGUAAGGUAUAAAAAGGACAGUAUAUUAAGGCAUAAAAAGGACGACAUAGUAUAGUAAGGCAUAAAAACGACAUAGUAUAGUAAGGCAUGAAAAACGACAUAUUAUAGUAAGGCAUAAAAAGGACAUAGUAUAGUAAGGCAAAAAAAGGACAUAUUAUAGUAAGGCAUAAAAAGGACAUUAUAGUAAGGCAAAAAAAGGACAUAUUAUAGUAAGGCAUAAAAAGGACAUUAUAGUAAGGCAUAAAAAUGACAUUAUAGUAAGGCAUAAAAAUGACAUUAUAGUAAGGCAUAAAAAUGACAUUAUAGUAAGGCAUAAAAAGGACAUAUUAUAGUAAGGCAAAAAAGGACAUCGUAUAGUAAGGCAAAAAAAGGACAUAGUAUAGUAAGGCAAAAAAAGGACAUAUUAUAGUAAGGCAUAAAAAGGACAUUAUAGUAAGGCAUAAAAAUGACAUUAUAGUAAGGCAUAAAAAGGACAUUAUAGUAAGGCAUAAAAAGGACAUUAUAGUAAGGCAAAAAAAGGACAUAGUAUAGUAAGGCAAAAAAAGGACAUAUUAUAGUAAGGCAUAAAAAGGACAUAGUAUAGUAAGGCAUAAAAACGACAGUAUAGUAAGGCAUGAAAAACGUCAUAGUAUAAUAAGGCAUAAAAACGUCAUAGUAUAAUAAGGCAUAAAAACGAUAUAGUAUAGUAAGGCAAAAAAAGGACAUAGUAUAGUAAGCAUAAAAAAGAGUUAUAGUAUAAUAAGGAAUAAAAAACGACAUAGGAUAGUAAGGCAUGAAAACACCAUAGUAUAGUAAUUCAAAAAAAGGACAUAGUAUAAUAAGGCAUAAAAACAUCAUAAUAUGGUAAGGCAUAAAAACAACAUAGUAUAGUAAGGCAUAAAAACAUCAUAAUAUGGUAAGGCAUAAAACGUCAUAUGAUAAAAAGGCUUAAAAAACUGCUGCACUAUUGUCCAUGAUUUUUUUUUCAUUGUUAACUUUGAAAAUAUACAAAAAUAUAGUGACCAUUGACCAUCCAUAUCUUUGCAACAAGUCAAUAUUGUACUAUAACAACUCUCCAUGAUGUUUUUGUCUUU